CCUACGGGAGGCAGCAGUGGGGAAUAUUGCACAAUGGGGGAAACCCUGAUGCAGCGACGCCGCGUGAGUGAAGAAGUAUUUCGGUACGUAAAGCUCUAUCAGCAGGGAAGCAAAUGACGGUACCUGACUAAGAAGCACCGGCUAACUACGUGCCAGCAGCCGCGGUAAUAUGGAGGGGGCAAGCGUUAUCCGGAUUUACUGGGUGUAAAGGGAGCGUAGGCGGUAGCGCCAGUGUGGAGUGAAAUCCCAUGGGUUAACCAUGGAACUGCCUUGGAAACUGUGCAGCUAGAGUGCAGGAGAAGUAAGCGGAAUUCGUGGUGUAGCGGUGAAAUGCGUAGAUAUUAGGAAGAACACCGAUGGCGAAGGCGGCUUACUGGACUGUAACUGACGUUGAGGCUCGAAAGCGUGGGGAGCGAACAGGAUUAGAUACCCCUGUAGUC
Molecule: ribosomal RNA, 440 nt
Filed under: uncultured bacterium
Lineage: Bacteria
Description: partial 16S ribosomal RNA
Rfam family: Bacterial small subunit ribosomal RNA
Source: RNAcentral